Molecule: ribosomal RNA, 497 nt
Filed under: uncultured bacterium
Lineage: Bacteria
Description: partial 16S ribosomal RNA
Rfam family: Bacterial small subunit ribosomal RNA
Source: RNAcentral
GAUGAACGCUGGCGGCGUGCCUAAUACAUGCAAGUCGAGCGAACAGACGAGGAGCUUGCUCCUCUGACGUUAGCGGCGGACGGGUGAGUAACACGUGGAUAACCUACCUAUAAGACUGGGAUAACUUCGGGAAACCGGAGCUAAUACCGGAUAAUAUAUUGAACCGCAUGGUUCAAUAGUGAAAGACGGUUUUGCUGUCACUUAUAGAUGGAUCCGCGCCGCAUUAGCUAGUUGGUAAGGUAACGGCUUACCAAGGCAACGAUGCGUAGCCGACCUGAGAGGUUGAUCGGCCACACUGGAGCGUGGACACGGUCCAGACUCCUACGGGAGGCAGCAGUAGGGAAUCUUCCGCAAUGGGCGAAAGCCUGACGGAGCAGCGCCGCGUGAGUGAUGAAGGUCUUCGGAUCGUAAAACUCUGUUAUUAGGGAAGAACAAAUGUGUAAGUAACUAUGCACGUCUUGACGGUACCUAAUCAGAAAGCCACGGCUAACUACGUG